CGGCGCCCGGCGGCCCUCAGCGGGAGGGAGUGCUCCCGCCGCUCGGAGCUGAGCCGCCGCCCCUGGGCUAGCUUUAAAUCUGAUGGGACUGCCACUCCAGGACUGACUCCUGCAGCAUAAUCUUCCUCAGAUGUCUGACUCCCCUAUUGGGACUUCAUGAGAGCUAUAUUAAAAGAAAAUCUGUAUCUGAUCUUUAUGGAGUUGCAGCCUCAUUCGGUGAAGGCCUGACCCACUCCUUGCAAAGACAAGCUGACUUCAGAGGGGGCUGCAGAAACUGACUGGACUGUAUCUCCCUUGGUGGGAUGUCACCAGUGAUGCAAGUGAUACACAACUCCCUCUCCACUACAGGAGACAAAACAGAAACAACAUUACUGUGAAUCCUUACUGGCCUACUAAAUUGGCAAAAGAGCACUUUGGGAUUCUGCCACCUGUAUAUAACUCCCGUUCAAAGCUGGAGACAAGAAGCUGCCAUGCUGGCUGA
Molecule: long non-coding RNA, 481 nt
Organism: Passer montanus (Eurasian tree sparrow)
Lineage: Eukaryota; Metazoa; Chordata; Aves; Passeriformes; Passeridae
Exons: 4
Source: RefSeq, a predicted model, not a curated record